CCCGAGUUCGAUUCUCGGAAUGCCCCAAAAGUUUUCAUUUUCGUCGGCUUUUGUCGACUCAUUAUUUAUGAAAUCAGACUGUUUUCGAAUUUAGAACAAUGCCUAUCACCGGUUUGAUUAUUUGCCUCUGCAACAUCACCUUUUCCCUGCGGGAACAAUCGCGGCUUCUCUCCUUAUCAACUGUGCUUCAGCUGGAUCUCCCACACAUUAGUCUAAGAUUGACCUAACUGAGAGCUAUGCAAAACUAGUUAUUCCUUUUUUUUUUAACCUGGAUCAGGAGCUAUGAGAUUGAAACAAAAAAUUUUCAAGUGUUCCUUCCUAAUUAUAUAUGUAUUUUGAUAUAUUGCAGCUUUGAAACCAGACUGUUGCGAAUUACGAACAAUGCCUAUCACCGGUUUAAUUAUUUGCCUCUGCAACGUCACACCUUUUCCCUGCCGGAACAAUCGCCGCUUCUCUCCUUAUCAACUGUGCUUCAGCUGGAUCUCCCACACAUUAGUCUAAGAUUGAUCUAACUGAGAGCUAUGCAAAACUUUCAAUCUCGAUUUUACAGAGAUCUUCAGAACUUGUCAUAUUUGGGGACCGCCUUGAUCAGGAUCCUUGUGCUUCUAAGAACAGGAGUUGAAGAAGAGUUGACAAUAAUCCAAGGGAAAAUAUUGCAAUUGCAGGAAAGUUGAAUCAAGUUUCUAUGGACGGCGAAACCAUGUGCUAUUGUUUCCCAAGUAUGCAUUACUUGUUGCAAUUGCGUUAGGUACUCAAGGUCAGUUGUGGUGGCGUAUGACUUCUUAAACAGGGAAGUGAUAGAUUUCUAGUCUAGCAUUUAGAAAAUGCCUGAGACCAAUUGGCAUUAUAAUCAUACCAGCGUUUGUUUGAGUAGAAAAUCGCUCUGAGUCUUGAUUCAACGGGUUGGUUGCUUCAUUGACUUGGAGCUUAACGGGUGUAAAUUAUCAAAAUCCAUAAUUCACAAAGUCUUACAUUUAUUUCUGUAGAUCUGUGAUUUGGUAAUUCUUAUGUUAAUGAUUGAGCGGCGAAUAUUUGAGC
Molecule: RNA transcript, 1038 nt
Organism: Manihot esculenta (cassava)
Lineage: Eukaryota; Viridiplantae; Streptophyta; Magnoliopsida; Malpighiales; Euphorbiaceae
Exons: 3
Source: RefSeq, a predicted model, not a curated record